AACGUACGCUGGCGGCACGCUUAACACAUGCAAGUCGAACGAAGUAGCAAUACUUAGUGGCAGACGGGUGAGUAACAUGUGGGUAUCUGCCCUUUGGCCUGGAAUAACACGAGGAAACUUGUGCUAAUACCGGAUAAGUCUUUACAGAGAAAGCUUUAUGCACCAUUGGAUGAGCCCGCACUUGAUUAGUUUGUUGGUGGGGUAAUGGCCUACCAAGACUGUGAUCAAUAGCUGAUUUGAGAGGAUGAUCAGCCACAUUGGGACUGAGACACGGCCCAAACUCCUACGGGAGGCAGCAGUGGGGAAUCUUGCACAAUGGAGGAAACUCUGAUGCAGCGAUGCCGCGUGAGUGAAGAAGGCCCUUGGGUUGUAAAGCUCUUUCGUCGGGGAAGAAAAUGACUGUACCCGAAUAAGAAGGUCCGGCUAACUUCGUGCCAGCAGCCGCGGUAAUACGAAGGGACCUAGCGUAGUUCGGAAUUACUGGGCUUAAAGAGUUCGUAGGUGGUUGAAAAAGUUAGUGGUGAAAUCCCAGAGCUUAACUCUGGAACUGCCAUUAAAACUUUUCAGCUAGAGUAUGAUAGAGGAAAGCAGAAUUUCUAGUGUAGAGGUGAAAUUCGUAGAUAUUAGAAAGAAUACCAAUUGCGAAGGCAGCUUUCUGGAUCAUUACUGACACUGAGGAACGAAAGCAUGGGUAGCGAAGAGGAUUAGAUACCCUCGUAGUCCAUGCCGUAAACGAUGUGUGUUAGACGUUGGAAAUUUAUUUUCAGUGUCGCAGCGAAAGCGAUAAACACACCGCCUGGGGAGUACGACCGCAAGGUUAAAACUCAAAUGAAUUGACGGGGACCCGCACAAGUAGUGGAGCAUGUGGUUUAAUUCGAAGAUACGCGCAGAACCUUACCAACACUUGACAUGUUCGUCGCGACUCUAAGAGAUUAGAGUUUUCGGUUCGGCCGGACGAAACACAGGUGCUGCAUGGCUGUCGUCAGCUCGUGUCGUGAGAUGUUGGGUUAAGUCCCGCAACGAGCGCAACCCUCACUUUUAGUUGCCAUCAUUAAGUUGGGCACUCUGAAAGAACUGCCAGUGAUAAGCUGGAGGAAGGUGGGGAUGACGUCAAGUCCUCAUGGCCCUUACGUGUUGGGCUACACACGUGCUACAAUGGUAUCUACAACAGGAAGCAAGACUGCGAGGUCAAGCAAAUCCUUAAAAGAUACCUCAGUUCGGAUUGCACUCUGCAACUCGAGUGCAUGAAGCUGGAAUUACUAGUAAUCGUGGAUCAGCGUGCCACGGUGAAUGCGUUCCCGGGUCU
RNAcentral lists this ribosomal RNA (1306 nucleotides) under uncultured bacterium. RNAcentral describes it as "bacterial SSU rRNA". It matches the Rfam family "Bacterial small subunit ribosomal RNA", at positions 28 to 1381 of the family's 1533-position model. The record is from RNAcentral.